RNAcentral lists this ribosomal RNA (428 nucleotides) under Chloroflexota bacterium. RNAcentral describes it as "Chloroflexi bacterium partial 16S ribosomal RNA". It matches the Rfam family "Bacterial small subunit ribosomal RNA", at positions 355 to 776 of the family's 1533-position model. The record is from RNAcentral. Lineage: Bacteria; Bacillati; Chloroflexota.
UGGGGAAUAUUGCACAAUGGGCGCAAGCCUGAUGCAGCCAUGCCGCGUGUAUGAAGAAGGCCUUCGGGUUGUAAAGUACUUUCAGUCGGGAGGAAGGUGGUAAGGUUAAUAACCUUAUCAAUUGACGUUACCGACAGAAGAAGCACCGGCUAACUCCGUGCCAGCAGCCGCGGUAAUACGGAGGGUGCAAGCGUUAAUCGGAAUUACUGGGCGUAAAGCGCACGCAGGCGGUUGAUUGAGUCAGAUGUGAAAUCCCCGGGCUUAACCCGGGAAUUGCAUCUGAUACUGGUCAGCUAGAGUCUUGUAGAGGGGGGUAGAAUUCCAUGUGUAGCGGUGAAAUGCGUAGAGAUGUGGAGGAAUACCGGUGGCGAAGGCGGCCCCUGGACAAAGACUGACGCUCAGGUGCGAAAGCGUGGGGAGCAAACAGG